CGGGUCUAGUGGCGCACGGGUGCGUAACACGUGGGAAUUUGCCUCGGGGUAUGGAAUAACUCAGGGAAACUUGAGCUAAUACCAUAUAAUGUCUUCGGACCAAAGAUUUAUCGCCCUGAGAUAAGCCCGCGUAGGAUUAGCUAGUUGGUGAGGUAAAGGCUCACCAAGGCGACGAUCCUUAGCUGGUCUGAGAGGAUGAUCAGCCACACUGGGACUGAGACACGGCCAGACUCCUACGGGAGGCAGCAGUGGGGGAAUAUUGGACAAUGGGCGAAAGCCUGAUCCAGCAAUGCCGCGUGAGUGAUGAAGGCCUUCGGGUUGUAAAGCUCUUUUACUCGGGACGAUAAUGACGGUACCGAGAGAAUAAGCCCCGGCUAACUCCGUG
RNAcentral lists this ribosomal RNA (385 nucleotides) under uncultured bacterium. RNAcentral describes it as "bacterial SSU rRNA". It matches the Rfam family "Bacterial small subunit ribosomal RNA", at positions 87 to 507 of the family's 1533-position model. The record is from RNAcentral.